This 492-nucleotide ribosomal RNA is filed under the name uncultured bacterium. RNAcentral describes it as "partial 16S ribosomal RNA". It matches the Rfam family "Bacterial small subunit ribosomal RNA", at positions 29 to 507 of the family's 1533-position model. The record is from RNAcentral.
AGUGAACGCUGGCGGUAGGCCUAACACAUGCAAGUCGAACGGCAGCACCGUAAGAGCUUGCUCUUACGGGUGGCGAGUGGCGGAAGGGUGAGGAAUACAUCGGAAUCUACUUUUUCGUGGGGGCUAACGUAGGGAAACUUACGCUAAUACCGCAUACGACCUACGGGUGAAAGCAGGGGAUCUUCGGACCUUGCGCGAUUGAAUGAGCCGAUGUCGGAUUAGCUCGUUUGCGGGGUAAAGGCCCAACAAGGCGACGAUCCGUAGCUGGUCUGAGAGGAUGAUCAGCCACACUGGAAGUGAGACACGUUCCAGACUCCGACGGUGAGAAGCAGUGGAGAAUAUUAGGCGAUGGAGGCAAGCCUGAUCCAGGCAUACCGCGUGGGGGAAGAAGGCCUUCGGGUUGUAGAGCCCUGUUGUUGGGAAAGAAGUGCAGCAGGUUAAUACCCCGCUGUUCUGACGGUACCCAAAGAAUAAGCACCGGCUAACUUCGUG